GGGAAAGAGAAAGCCAGAGGAUUUCGAUUAUCUUCUCUUUCUAAAUUGUCCCUGCUUCAAGGCAAGGAGAAGAAGUUUACCUUGGUUCAUGCCCUCGUGGAACAGAUCCUUUUACACCAGCCCCAUUUGGCCAAGUUUCCUCAGGAACUGAUGGAAUUUGAAGCUGCUCCUGGAGGUAAGAGGAUCAGAAAUUCCCCUUCCACUUGGGAAAAGGGCUUCAACAUACAUGU
RNAcentral lists this long non-coding RNA (230 nucleotides) under Phascolarctos cinereus (koala). RNAcentral's name for it is "lncRNA (ENSPCIG00000027331.2)". The record is from RNAcentral. Lineage: Eukaryota; Metazoa; Chordata; Mammalia; Diprotodontia; Phascolarctidae.